GUCAAGAAACAUAGCUCCUAUGGCUAAAAUAGAACAUAGGAGAAAAUGAUUUUUUUUUGCUUUUGAAGAAAAUAGGACGAUUCAAAGAACAUUUAAAUAAAUUGAAAAGCCAAAAUAAUCAUUGAUGAGAGAUUAAACCAAAAAAAUUCAGGUGAGCGAUUCAGGCUCUUGAGAGCCUCUUGUUGGAACUUGCAAUGCAACUAUA
Molecule: long non-coding RNA, 205 nt
Filed under: Mytilus galloprovincialis (Mediterranean mussel)
Lineage: Eukaryota; Metazoa; Mollusca; Bivalvia; Mytilida; Mytilidae
Source: RNAcentral